RNAcentral lists this ribosomal RNA (253 nucleotides) under uncultured bacterium. RNAcentral describes it as "partial 16S ribosomal RNA". It matches the Rfam family "Bacterial small subunit ribosomal RNA", at positions 524 to 776 of the family's 1533-position model. The record is from RNAcentral.
UACAGAGGGGGCAAGCGUUGUUCGGAAUUACUGGGCGUAAAGGGCGCGUAGGCGGCCAACUAAGUCAGACGUGAAAUCCCCAGGCUCAACCUGGGAACUGCGUCUGAUACUGGAUGGCUUGAGUUCGGGAGAGGGAAGUGGAAUUCCAGGUGUAGCGGUGAAAUGCGUAGAUAUCUGGAGGAACACCGGUGGCGAAGGCGGCUUCCUGGACCGACACUGACGCUGAGGCGCGAAAGCUAGGGGAGCAAACGGG